RNAcentral lists this ribosomal RNA (254 nucleotides) under uncultured bacterium. RNAcentral's name for it is "partial 16S ribosomal RNA". It matches the Rfam family "Bacterial small subunit ribosomal RNA", at positions 524 to 777 of the family's 1533-position model. The record is from RNAcentral.
UACGUAGGGGGCUAGCGUUGUCCGGAAUCAUUGGGCGUAAAGAGCGUGUAGGCGGUCCGGUAAGUCCGCUGUGAAAGUCGGGGGCUCAACCCUCGAAUGCCGGUGGAUACUGUCGGGCUAGAGUGCGGAAGAGGCGAGUGGAAUUCCUAGUGUAGCGGUGAAAUGCGCAGAUAUUAGGAGGAACACCGGUGGCGAAGGCGCCGCUCUGGGCCGAAACUGACGCUGAGGAGCGAAAGCAUGGGUAGCAAACAGGG